UUAAGCGACUAAGCGUACACGGUGGAUGCCCUGGCAGUCAGAGGCGAUGAAGGACGUGCUAAUCUGCGAUAAGCGUCGGUAAGGUGAUAUGAACCGUUAUAACCGGCGAUUUCCGAAUGGGGAAACCCAGUGUGUUUCGACACACUAUCAUUAACUGAAUCCAUAGGUUAAUGAGGCGAACCGGGGGAACUGAAACAUCUAAGUACCCCGAGGAAAAGAAAUCAACCGAGAUUCCCCCAGUAGCGGCGAGCGAACGGGGAGCAGCCCAGAGCCUGAAUCAGUGUGUGUGUUAGUGGAAGCGUCUGGAAAGGCGCGCGAUACAGGGUGACAGCCCCGUACACAAAAAUGCACAUAUUGUGAGCUCGAUGAGUAGGGCGGGACACGUGGUAUCCUGUCUGAAUAUGGGGGGACCAUCCUCCAAGGCUAAAUACUCCUGACUGACCGAUAGUGAACCAGUACCGUGAGGGAAAGGCGAAAAGAACCCCGGCGAGGGGAGUGAAAAAGAACCUGAAACCGUGUACGUACAAGCAGUGGGAGCACGCUUAGGCGUGUGACUGCGUACCUUUUGUAUAAUGGGUCAGCGACUUAUAUUCUGUAGCAAGGUUAACCGAAUAGGGGAGCCGAAGGGAAACCGAGUCUUAACUGGGCGUUAAGUUGCAGGGUAUAGACCCGAAACCCGGUGAUCUAGCCAUGGGCAGGUUGAAGGUUGGGUAACACUAACUGGAGGACCGAACCGACUAAUGUUGAAAAAUUAGCGGAUGACUUGUGGCUGGGGGUGAAAGGCCAAUCAAACCGGGAGAUAGCUGGUUCUCCCCGAAAGCUAUUUAGGUAGCGCCUCGUGAAUUCAUCUCCGGGGGUAGAGCACUGUUUCGGCAAGGGGGUCAUCCCGACUUACCAACCCGAUGCAAACUGCGAAUACCGGAGAAUGUUAUCACGGGAGACACACGGCGGGUGCUAACGUCCGUCGUGAAGAGGGAAACAACCCAGACCGCCAGCUAAGGUCCCAAAGUCAUGGUUAAGUGGGAAACGAUGUGGGAAGGCCCAGACAGCCAGGAUGUUGGCUUAGAAGCAGCCAUCAUUUAAAGAAAGCGUAAUAGCUCACUGGUCGAGUCGGCCUGCGCGGAAGAUGUAACGGGGCUAAACCAUGCACCGAAGCUGCGGCAGCGACGCUUAUGCGUUGUUGGGUAGGGGAGCGUUCUGUAAGCCUGUGAAGGUGUGCUGUGAGGCAUGCUGGAGGUAUCAGAAGUGCGAAUGCUGACAUAAGUAACGAUAAAGCGGGUGAAAAGCCCGCUCGCCGGAAGACCAAGGGUUCCUGUCCAACGUUAAUCGGGGCAGGGUGAGUCGACCCCUAAGGCGAGGCCGAAAGGCGUAGUCGAUGGGAAACAGGUUAAUAUUCCUGUACUUGGUGUUACUGCGAAGGGGGGACGGAGAAGGCUAUGUUGGCCGGGCGACGGUUGUCCCGGUUUAAGCGUGUAGGCUGGUUUUCCAGGCAAAUCCGGAAAAUCAAGGCUGAGGCGUGAUGACGAGGCACUACGGUGCUGAAGCAACAAAUGCCCUGCUUCCAGGAAAAGCCUCUAAGCAUCAGGUAACAUCAAAUCGUACCCCAAACCGACACAGGUGGUCAGGUAGAGAAUACCAAGGCGCUUGAGAGAACUCGGGUGAAGGAACUAGGCAAAAUGGUGCCGUAACUUCGGGAGAAGGCACGCUGAUAUGUAGGUGAAGUCCCUCGCGGAUGGAGCUGAAAUCAGUCGAAGAUACCAGCUGGCUGCAACUGUUUAUUAAAAACACAGCACUGUGCAAACACGAAAGUGGACGUAUACGGUGUGACGCCUGCCCGGUGCCGGAAGGUUAAUUGAUGGGGUCAGCGCAAGCGAAGCUCUUGAUCGAAGCCCCGGUAAACGGCGGCCGUAACUAUAACGGUCCUAAGGUAGCGAAAUUCCUUGUCGGGUAAGUUCCGACCUGCACGAAUGGCGUAAUGAUGGCCAGGCUGUCUCCACCCGAGACUCAGUGAAAUUGAACUCGCUGUGAAGAUGCAGUGUACCCGCGGCAAGACGGAAAGACCCCGUGAACCUUUACUAUAGCUUGACACUGAACAUUGAGCCUUGAUGUGUAGGAUAGGUGGGAGGCUUUGAAGUGUGGACGCCAGUCUGCAUGGAGCCGACCUUGAAAUACCACCCUUUAAUGUUUGAUGUUCUAACGUUGACCCGUGAUCCGGGUUGCGGACAGUGUCUGGUGGGUAGUUUGACUGGGGCGGUCUCCUCCUAAAGAGUAACGGAGGAGCACGAAGGUUGGCUAAUCCUGGUCGGACAUCAGGAGGUUAGUGCAAUGGCAUAAGCCAGCUUGACUGCGAGCGUGACGGCGCGAGCAGGUGCGAAAGCAGGUCAUAGUGAUCCGGUGGUUCUGAAUGGAAGGGCCAUCGCUCAACGGAUAAAAGGUACUCCGGGGAUAACAGGCUGAUACCGCCCAAGAGUUCAUAUCGACGGCGGUGUUUGGCACCUCGAUGUCGGCUCAUCACAUCCUGGGGCUGAAGUAGGUCCCAAGGGUAUGGCUGUUCGCCAUUUAAAGUGGUACGCGAGCUGGGUUUAGAACGUCGUGAGACAGUUCGGUCCCUAUCUGCCGUGGGCGCUGGAGAACUGAGGGGGGCUGCUCCUAGUACGAGAGGACCGGAGUGGACGCAUCACUGGUGUUCGGGUUGUCAUGCCAAUGGCACUGCCCGGUAGCUAAAUGCGGAAGAGAUAAGUGCUGAAAGCAUCUAAGCACGAAACUUGCCCCGAGAUGAGUUCUCCCUGACUCCUUGAGAGUCCUGAAGGAACGUUGAAGACGACGACGUUGAUAGGCCGGGUGUGUAAGCGCAGCGAUGCGUUGAGCUAACCGGUACUAAUGAACCGUGAGGCUUAACCUU
RNAcentral lists this ribosomal RNA (2902 nucleotides) under Escherichia coli. RNAcentral describes it as "bacterial LSU rRNA". It matches the Rfam family "Bacterial large subunit ribosomal RNA". Lineage: Bacteria; Pseudomonadati; Pseudomonadota; Gammaproteobacteria; Enterobacterales; Enterobacteriaceae. The record is from RNAcentral.